AUCUGGAUAGCUCAGUUAGUUAGAGCAUGGUGCUGAUAGCGUCAGGGUUGCAGGUUUGAUCCCUGUGUGGGACA
Non-coding RNA from Podarcis lilfordi (Lilford's wall lizard), 74 nucleotides. Lineage: Eukaryota; Metazoa; Chordata; Lepidosauria; Squamata; Lacertidae. The record is from the annotation of a GenBank genome assembly.